CAUGGCGCCUGUUUAUCAAAAACAUGGUUUUUUGUAAUUGUAAAAAAUUUGGCCUGCUCACUGCCAUAAGGUAAAUAGCCGCAGUAUAUUGACUGUGCUAAGGUAGCAUAAUCAUUUGUCUUUUAAUUGAAGGCUGGUAUGAAUGGUUAAACGAGAUAAAAUCUGUCUCCAAGGAAGAAGUUGAAAUUGAUUAACUGGUAAAAAGGCCAUUGUAUUUUUGGAGGACGAUAAGACCCUAUUAAGCUUGAUUUUAGAAUUUUGCUGGGGCGGCAGUUUAAGAGUAGAAUCUUAAUAGACAGAGAUAAAAUAUGAUGACCCAGUAAUACUGAGGAUUAGAAAAAGUUACUAUAGGGAUAACAGCUUAAUUUUUUUAAUGAGUUCUUAUUUUAAAAAAAGUUUGUGACCUCGAUGUUGAAUUAAAGGUUCUAUUUGGUGCAGCUGCUAAAUGAGAAGGUCUGUUCGACUUUUAAACCUUUACGUGAUCUGAGUUCAGACCGGCCAUGA
RNAcentral lists this ribosomal RNA (504 nucleotides) under Liphistius tenuis. RNAcentral describes it as "partial large subunit ribosomal RNA". It matches the Rfam family "Bacterial large subunit ribosomal RNA", at positions 1786 to 2624 of the family's 2925-position model. The record is from RNAcentral. Lineage: Eukaryota; Metazoa; Arthropoda; Arachnida; Araneae; Liphistiidae.